RNAcentral lists this ribosomal RNA (492 nucleotides) under uncultured bacterium. RNAcentral's name for it is "partial 16S ribosomal RNA". It matches the Rfam family "Bacterial small subunit ribosomal RNA", at positions 29 to 507 of the family's 1533-position model. The record is from RNAcentral.
AGUGAACGCUGGCGGUAGGCCUAACACAUGCAAGUCGAACGGCAGCACAGUAAGAGCUUGCUCUUACGGGUGGCGAGUGGCGGACGGGUGAGGAAUACAUCGGAAUCUACUUUUUCGUGGGGGAUAACGUAGGGAAACUUACGCUAAUACCGCAUACGACCUACGGGUGAAAGCCGGGGAUCUUCGGACCUUGCGCGAUUGAAUGAGCCGAUGUCGGAUUAGCUAGUUGGCGGGGUAAAGGCCCACCAAGGCGACGAUCCGUAGCUGGUCUGAGAGGAUGGUCAGCCACACUGGAACUGAGACACGGUCCAGACUCCUACGGGAGGCAGCAGUGGGGAAUAUUGGACAAUGGGCGCAAGCCUGAUCCAGCCAUACCGCGUGGGUGAAGAAGGCCUUCGGGUUGUAAAGCCCUUUUGUUGGGAAAGAAAAGCAGCAGGUUAAUACCCCGCUGUUCUGACGGUACCCAAAGAAUAAGCACCGGCUAACUUCGUG